This 587-nucleotide ribosomal RNA is filed under the name uncultured bacterium. RNAcentral's name for it is "bacterial SSU rRNA". It matches the Rfam family "Bacterial small subunit ribosomal RNA", at positions 338 to 916 of the family's 1533-position model. The record is from RNAcentral.
CCUACGGGAGGCAGCAGUGGGGAAUAUUGGACAAUGGGCGAAAGCCUGAUCCAGCCAUGCCGCGUGUGUGAAGAAGGUCUUCGGAUUGUAAAGCACUUUAAGUUGGGAGGAAGGGUUGUAGAUUAAUACUCUGCAAUUUUGACGUUACCGACAGAAUAAGCACCGGCUAACUCUGUGCCAGCAGCCGCGGUAAUACAGAGGGUGCAAGCGUUAAUCGGAAUUACUGGGCGUAAAGCGCGCGUAGGUGGUUUGUUAAGUUGGAUGUGAAAUCCCCGGGCUCAACCUGGGAACUGCAUCCAAAACUGGCAAGCUAGAGUAUGGUAGAGGGUGGUGGAAUUUCCUGUGUAGCGGUGAAAUGCGUAGAUAUAGGAAGGAACACCAGUGGCGAAGGCGACCACCUGGACUGAUACUGACACUGAGGUGCGGAAGCGUGGGGAGCAAACAGGAUUAGAUACCCUGGUAGUCCACGCCGUAAACGAUGUCAACUAGCCGUUGGGAGCCUUGAGCUCUUAGUGGCGCAGCUAACGCAUUAAGUUGACCGCCUGGGGAGUACGGCCGCAAGGUUAAAACUUAAAUGAAAUUGACGG